Molecule: small RNA, 5802 nt
Filed under: Rattus norvegicus (Norway rat)
Lineage: Eukaryota; Metazoa; Chordata; Mammalia; Rodentia; Muridae
Description: uncharacterized LOC108351669
Source: RNAcentral
AGAUAGAACACUUAAAAAUAUCUGUUUCUAUGCUGAGGGCUCUCUUUUCAGCGCUCUCUCUCUCUCUCUCUCUCUCUCUCUCUCUCUUUAAUCUUUUCACUUUGUCAUGGUAUCUUUCACAGCACAAAAGUUUUUAAUUCUCAUAAAAUCCAACUUAAUUUUUCUGUUGUUGCUAACGAUUUUUGUGUUGGAUACAGGAAGGCCUUUUCUAAUCCUAAGUCAAAAAUAUUUACUUCUGUUUUCUUCUAAGGCUUCUGUGAUUUUAGUUCUUAUGUAGAUUUGUGAUUUGUUUUGAGUUAUUUUUUGCAUAUAAGAGCCAAGAAAGCUAUAUAGGCUCAAUAAACACCUUUUUCCAGCUGCAGUUCUUCUUGACUUAUUUGAACCCAUCCGGACAGCUCAAAGGGAGGUAUGAAGUGAACUUAAGCAAGGUAUAGACACUUAGCAGAAAUCGCCUCUGGAGAGAAGACACUCGUGUUCCUUCUCGGGUAUGUCAGUAUCUGAUUUUGAUGUCAGUGCUUUUGAAAGUGCCUGACUGUGCCAAGACAGAAUCUACAUGUUGAAAGCGGCUCCACUGGGUAUGAAAGAGGUUAUACAGAAAAGCAGUUGCCCCAUGCAAUAAUCAAGUUAGAAAAGGGCAGGUCUAAGGAAGCCAUCUAAUUGGCAAAAGAAAGUCCAGCCCAGCAAUUACAGAACACCACCCACACAGCUUGGAUCUACCCCACCUGGCUGUUUCCCUACAGCAUGAAAAAAAAAAAAGUCAAAACAAUCAGACCAUUUUCUAAAUGGAAUAAAACAUUCCAGUGCAAGCAAUAAUUAGGAGAUAACUACCCUCCUGGCUGCUUUCCGCAUCGACCUCUGGCCCCCUGCCUCCCAGCGCACCUGAGACAUGCAAUUAAAUCACACCCGUCCUGCGCUAGGAUUGCACACUCGAGAGCACCCUGCAGCCUCUCCGGGGGUUUGUUUCCCCACUGACUCCUAGAGACAGGUUGUUCCUUAGUCCAGAGAGGUCAGGCAACCCACUAGGCAUGAGGCCAUGUGCUUCUCUCUGUCUCUCACAAAGCACCCAGAAUACUGUACUGCAUUGGCUGCAUUUAUCCGGAGUCCACCUCCGUACCCUAAAUCUAGGCAUCUGAAUAUAGACGAAGAUGUCAAGAUGGCUCUUCUUGCUUUCUUCCUGAGGUAGUCAGAUGGGGUUCAGGCACCUCAGAGAGAAUAGGAUGACAGGAAGCGGUUGACAGAAAGUGUUUGCAGGCAUCGAAGCAAGCCAAGGGUAGAGUUGGAGUUAAAUGUAAGAGUCCAAACUUCUCGAAUCUAGCAUUCGCACCAGCAUUACAUUCUGCUGAAUGCACAGGAUCGAGUAAGACAUGCCACUGGUCUUACUGCUUCCUAUGCGUCCACGCUCACCCACUAGAAGCCAGGUCCCUCUCCCCUCCCUCCUCCAGCACAGUUGGGACCAUGGAAUUGAUGAUGCUGAGAAAAAAAAUGUCUGGACUCUCCUCCAUGAAUCUUUCCUACAGCAUUGCCAUUCUCAUUAGCUGUUUGUCCCAGUCUGAUGACCCCAUGUCCCAUUAGGCCUCAAACUGUGUCCCAGAGCUGAAUCAGGGGACCAAGUACUCAGGACUCCCCUCAACCAAGAGAGAAGCUUGAGGGGUCUUAGAAGCCUGUAGAAUUCACUUUUGCCUUCCUAUCAUGGCUUCGACAAGCUCAGAUUCUUUGAAAACAUGGAUUGUGUCGACAACAAACACUAAAAACCACGAUGGCUAACCUCCCUUGUCUGCGUCCCAUGUGGCGAACACUAGCCUAGGUAUUUUAGAGAUGUUACCUCAGAUAGCAGAACUCUGCGAAGUAGAUGUGAGACUUUACCAAGGAGACACACAGUAACCUGUCCAGGGUCAUAACCGGUAACAGUUUCACUGAACUGUUCACUCUGGAGACAAUUCAAAAGCAAGUGGCACCUGUGUGUGACACUAUAGUCUUCCCACAUUGCAGUGUAUGGUCGGUCCGCUUUCAGAAGGGAACUGGGUGUUAACACUGCAGACCACUAACAAAUGAGACAUUUUCAGCCAGAUAUAAAUGCUGUGGAUCCCCAGAAAUGGAAUAUGGGAUAAGCAUCCCAGCUAAUGUGCAAAAUUAAAUUUACUCAACCCGCUAUAGGUUACACAUGCUGACCAGUCAAAACUAGUUAGAGAUCCUAUCUGGCUCUUGGCAGCUUUGUCCUUGGCAGCCUUGAGAGUGAGUCUGAGAAUCAAAUGCUAAUCUUUUUCCAGUUCCAAUUAGGUUACUUGCCUUGAGACAUCUUUAUUACCCAAUUAUCUUUUUCUUUCCUUCUCAGUACCUGAAGAGAUAGCCUUGAAAGAGUUUUAGCGGGGAAAUAUAUGAGGCAAUCUGGAGCUCAACAAUGCCCUGCUGUUCUGAGGGAGUCUGAACUCCACACUUACAACUGCGCACCAUGCCUUGUGUGUGGCUUCCACCAUUCUGAAGUUCCUUCUGCCCCUUCUUUCUGCCCAAAGCCCAUUCCCCACCAUCACUGGACACGUUGCCAUCCAUCCCACUGAAACCAGUUUACGGACGCCUCUUCCACAAAGCCUUCCCUCCUCUUCUCUGCUCCUGAAGCGGUAUGUCAGCCCUUCCAUGGUUGCUUUGAUUACUCUGUUUAACCUAGCUUUCAGGUCUGUCUCAGUGACUCAACUGAAAGUAUUUUUAUGUUCUGUGUGUUUUAAUUAGUCUUUUUAAUUAGCAUAUAAAACGUUAACUUCAUUAAGCAUUCUCAAACAUCAUUUGUUUGUGAUGGCUUUCCUGCCUUCCUCCCUCUCUGCCUCCCUUUGCACUCCUUAUCUCACCCUUCCUGCCCCUUCAACAUCCCUUUCUGCUCUCACGGGCCUUUUGGGUUUUGUCCCUUACACUCAUACUCACAGCCACCACAUGGAAAUGCAAGUACCUCAAAACGUUUUUAAGGUUCAACUUGUCACUCCAACCCUAUUACCUGAUACGAAAUAACUGGCUGUUCCUAACAUGAACUGAACUAAAAGCUUGGUUCUCUUCUCUCCUGAAGGGAUCUGAAUUGGCCCAGAAUGUUCUCUGAUGUUAAAGCUGCUGAGUUCCUUCCAUUUUUGAAGCACAUGGCUGAAAACAUCAUCUACAACUGUGCUGGCAGUGGAGUGGCUAAUAAAAAUCAGGUGAUGUCACAGUUCAGAGUGCACAUGUUUGUCCCACAGGGGGACUGGGUGGUGCUGGCCAAGAGGACGGGUUGUCAGUUCGUUAUUCGUAUGACUCAUGCAAAGAUUGCUGAUAACCAAUUUAAACAAUACUCUGCUGCUCUGGAGACAUUGAUUACCACAAUGAUGAUUGAUGAGGAAAGAGAAAGGUGGUGGGACGAAAAAGAAAAAGGACCCAAGGGGAGUGCCCCAGAUGGGCAGGGAGGGGCUCUCAGAGGAAUGGCCCAGCACCUCUCACUCCCCGAACUCAGUUCCCUUAGUGAACAACAUCCACCCCCAAUUUCCACAAGUCCCAUAUGUGUAGAGCCUUAUAGAAUUUUCAGAAUGACUCAAUUUAUCUGAAUCUCGUUAUCCUUCAGUUUUAACUUCUGUCUGCAGCUGUCUUCGUUCCUGCAACUCUGAACUCUUUGAGGGGUUGAUCUCGAACUAAAUAACCGAAUCAUUCUGCAUGCCCUUCCUGGGCCUUCUUUCUCCACCUUCAGAACAAAUUCCACUAGAAGCACGGGUUAUGUUUUAUUCUCGUCCCUGUGCUGCCUACGACAGGGAUGGCUAGCAGAGGAGCAGCAGUGACUCUGCAGUUUAGACGUGAAGUGGGUCCAUAGCAUCCUCUCUAAAUGGAAAAACGUCCAGGGGUGGGACUUCAAGAACGUGACUGCACUGUGAGGGCUCUGGAGUCACAGCAGGCUCUCUCAAUCGAAUAGGUCACUGGGAGGUGGGAGCCAGCUGAAGGGAGCAUGCUACAAAAUAUCUUGGCAUCCCCAGCCCUGCCAUGGAUCUCCGAGAUCAGACUCCCUAGGAGGGAGGGGAGCUUAUCCUGCUACCCAGUAACUGUGAUGGCCGCCAAGGUUAAAGACUACCGCAUUCAAGGACGCAGGCACAGAAGCGUGCGUCUCUUUUUAUAACUACUGCCAGAAGGUACUGAGCUAUUGCUGGGAGGAGAACGGAGAUCUUUACAAGGCCUCAAGUGGAGGGAUUGGGACACCAACCCAGUCACAAAACCUUCUACCUGCAUACUGUCCUGUCUAAAGAGUGUGCUGGGACCGGAGUCUAGCACAGUCAUCAUCAAAGAGACCAGAGAGACCUCAUCCAGCUACUGAUGGGAGCAGAUGACAAGGACCACAGCCAAAGAAGUCAAGUUCAAACAGCCUCCCUCUACAGCCAGUGCCUCAGAAGAUCUUCCUGUCUCGAAGUCCAAACCACCAGAGAUCCUUCCCCACAGCUUCAGACUGGAAAUCCCUCCCACCAGAAUGGGCCCAGGGCUGCACCCCUUGCCCUUUCUCACCAUCUUCUUCCACUUCAUCCUUCGGUUCUGAUACCAAGUCUUCACUUGCAGCUGCGUGAGCCCCAGAGACUGGGCCAAGUCCAACCUGGAAGGCAUGAGACACAAAGGAAGGGUGAGGAAAAUGCAGUGAGGGACAGCGGUGGGGACAUGCUGGCUGGCGCCUGGCACUUGCUACCAAAUCUCAGACUGCCACCAUUAACCCUGGCCAUGGCCGAGAGGAAGGGUGUCUCCCUUCUCAGAACGCUGUGUAGGGCUGGAAAACAGGAAAAGAGGGGCCACACGUAAGACCACGGGCAGAGUCCCCAUCCCAGAAUCAUUCUCUCUCUGAAAUGAACCUCAACAUCCAAGCCUUUGAUCUUCACCCCUAUAUCUAUAAAAUGUAGGCUCAAGAUCCCAAAAGCUAGAAACAGGAAGUAAAGCUGUACUUCUAUGGGAAUUCCACUCAUCUCUCCAGAUUCACCUCCGGUGUUGGUGAGCUCCCAUAACUCCUUUGACUCAGCAGUCACCCCAAUGGACCAUGCUGUCCAUGCUACUUGUGCCUCCCCAGCUCAAGACCAAGCCUUGAGCUUGUGUUCACAAAACUGCCUACUACGUCACUAGAUCCCAAAGCAGGACUCAGAAAUAUUUUUGCACAUGCAUGUGUAUAUAGUUAGGUGCAUGCAUGUUUGUGUGUGGUGUGUGUAGAAACCCAAGGUUGACGUCAAGCAUUACAUCCUACUAUAUUUAUUGGCACAGGGUAUCUUGGUGAACCCAGAGUUCCCCCAUUGCCCUGGACAGCCCCUAUUUGUGCCUGCUAAAGGCGCAAGGGUUACAGGCAGCGGCCAUACCUACCCAAUUUUUACGAAGGUUCUGGGCAUCUGAACUUCAGGCCUCGUACUCGUGAAGCAAGUGACUCGUGUGCUAAAACAUCCCCUUCAGCCCCAGGAAUGUUCCUAAAUUAUUACAAUGGUUGGAAUGUACAACCCAAUGAAGCCAUAAAUCCAUAGUCCCUCCUGCUUUCUAGGCCCACUGUAUUUCUACUUUGAAACCUUCUGGAAAGUCCUAAGGUUGAAGCCAUUUGUACAGUGAGAAGUCAUUCGAGCACACAGCAACCAUCUCCAGAGCAUGCCAGCACCCCAAACACACACUUUAAGCCACUGCCCAGUGCUAUCUUUUCACCACACCGAGCUUGGUAGGUAUAAUUAUUCCCAUUUUACAGAUAGAAGAUUUAACGCUUAGCGAGAGAGUAGAAUUUCACGAUGACAUGGCCAAGCUAUUCCUGACACUUGAUUUUUUUUCCUGUUCAAUAAAGUCUAUUGGAACGCA